This 324-nucleotide unclassified non-coding RNA is filed under the name soil metagenome. RNAcentral describes it as "partial contains 5.8S ribosomal RNA, internal transcribed spacer 2, and large subunit ribosomal RNA". The stretch from base 1 to 120 matches the Rfam family "5.8S ribosomal RNA", at positions 35 to 154 of the family's 154-position model. The record is from RNAcentral.
GAUGAAGAACGCAGCGAAAUGCGAUAAGUAAUGCGAAUUGCAGAAUUCAGUGAGUCAUCGAAUCUUUGAACGCACAUUGCGCCCUGUGGUAUUCCGCAGGGCAUGCCUGUUCGAGCGUCAUUUCAACCCUCAAGCCUCGCUUGGUGUUGGGCCCUGCCCGCCGCGGCCGGCCCUAAAGAUAGUGGCGGCGCCGCCUGGCCCCCAGCGUAGUACAGCUCUCGCUCCAGGGUCCGGCGGCAGCCUGCCAGAACCCCCCAACUCUGUGGUUGACCUCGGAUCAGGUAGGGAUACCCGCUGAACUUAAGCAUAUCAAUAAGCGGAGGA